AAUACCGGAAUAGGGAAGUGCGGAAAAUAAAAACCACCCGAUCCACAAAAAUAUCGCAAAACAGCCUUACCUUUCUUUCUUUCUUUCUUUCUAUCUUUCUUCCUAACAAACAAUGGCGAAUCGAGGCAGGGGAGAGUCUUUUGUGUGGACAGAUAGCGAAGUAGAAUUGCUCCUCAAGGUAACAAAUUAAUAAAAUACAAGAAAAUGUGGACUGGGAAUCUGUCCAGGCAAAGUAUGCCGAUAUUCAAGCUCUCUUCAUUGAGCAGUAACGUGAAACGUCUGACGAUUUUCCUCAUCGCAAGGAGGACAUAACCAGGGCCAUCAUCACCAAUAAGCUGAAGCAAAUACGGAGCAAAUAUAGGAAUGCAGUAGACAAGGGUCGUAGAAGUGGUUUUGGCAGAGUGGUUCUUCUAUACUUAGAGCUUUGUGAGCAGGUAUGGGGUGGUUCACCUGCAACGACUGCCACUGCGUCCAGCAUAGAAACCUCAGAUAUUAAUACAGCUUCUAGACAGAUUCUAGUAUUACCGGAAACGUCCGAGGUGUAUGAAGAAUCAGAUGGACCCAGCACUUCAUCGGCGGUGAAGCAGAGAAGAGAUCUACUCCAGGUAUCCUAUGUAAGGCCUAAUGAAGGAGUUCUUACACUAAUGGAUAUAAUGAAAGUACUGUAGGCUAGCUAGCCUAUGCUUGUUGUAUACCGUUAUAUAGGCCUAUGUAGUUUCUCUUAUGUAGGCUACACAACUGCGUGUGGCCAAACAGCCAAAUCACGUAGAAUAAUACACGGUUUCAGAAGUGCACGGGUCCGUGUGGGCCUAAAACAAGACAUUUUUUUACCUCAUGGGGUCCCCCUACAGUUGAAAAACAGUAUUGUCUGUUAGAACUGUCGCAAAAAUCUUUCUGCGUGUGCAUUUGUUGACAAGCCAACAAUAGCCUACUGGUGAAUUUUCUGAAGCUGGCCGUGUAAUGCGCGAUCAACCUGUCUUCAGAACAGGUAAAGUAGCCUUAUAGCAUUUUGUACAUAGCUACAUGAUUAGGCCGAUUGCUUUAGUUAUUUAUUCAUUUUCAAAACUCAGAAAUGAGUUCUGCUCUCUGCAUGUCAGGGCAGGGGGGUGUUAGUGGGUUCAAUGACAAAUCGCAUUGGUGAUUUAUCGCAUCACGGAUAUUGUAACGUGGACCCAGAAUAGACUCCGCAGAUAUAAAGUUUGGUGUAGCCAUAGCAACAGCCUUUAUAAACAACAAGUAGUGAUGUGACGUUUGCGAACGAGCCGAAUCUUUGAACCGGCUCUUUGAAGUGAACGUGUGAGCGGCUGCACUGUCUUUCUCCCUCCCAAACUAGUCUCUCUCAACUUGUUCCAGAUCAAAUAAUCUGAAAUUAAUGGAUACGAAGUAAAUUAAAGCAAAAAACAAAGAAAUUAGGAACUGGCUCGUUCACUCUAAAGAGCCGGUUCACUUGUUCCCUUCAAAGAGCCGGUUCAAAGACUCGGCUCGUUCGCGAACGUCACAUCACUACUUUCUCCCUCCCAAACUAGUCUCUCUCAACUUGUUCCGGAUCAAAUAAUCUGAAAUUAAUGGAUACGAAGUAAAUUAAAGCAAAAAACAAAGAAAUUAGGAACUGGCUCGUUCACUCUAUAGAGCCGGUUCACUCGUUCACUUCAAAGAGCCGGUUCAAAGACUCGGCUCGUUCGCGCACGUCACAUCACUACUCCUAAGUAGAGGUAACAGCAGUAACAGCAGUAACAGCGCCAGGUCACCAUUGGUUGGGCAUCCCUCCUCUUCUUUCAGUUCACGCCAGCUUAUGAAAGCCGGGCCAAUAUUCAUCCUUGUUCGAGCUCUUGUUUUAUCGCUCUCCCAUUUUCUUUUCUUCGUCUCCUGAGACAACACCUUCACCUUCUUCCUUUUCUUUGUCGCUUCAGCCAUGACAACCACGUCUGUGGUAUAAUCUGGAAAUUUACAUACAUACACUUCACACAUACCUCACACAUAUUAGUAAACACCUAAUAGCCUAUUCUUUUUUAUUUUUUUUAUUAUAUCAUUUUUAAAUUUUAAACACCAUGGCAGUGUUUGAUCCUGCGUGAUGUAGCGUAGAGUUUGUGCUAAUGCCCACUCACAGUUAUUGAACAUCUAACAAAUAAAAUUAUCUUCCAUAAUUCAUAAAGGUCAUAAUUUCACUGUUAAUAAUAGUAUAAGUUUCCCUGGGAAAGAUUUGUUCAGAAUUUCUGUGCAGAUAGUUCAGAUUUUAUAAAGUGUGGUUGUAUGAGGCACUUAUCCAUAGUCAGUGUAGUGUAUUAAUCCCAGGCUGAGAGGCAGCAGGACCAGCAGUCCCCACACCAGAGCCUCUCUCCUCUGCUGCUGGCACAGGAGCUCUUAAGCACCUCCUCCACGCCAGGUGUGCUGCACCUCGUUAGGUAAUGCAGCACACCUGAGCAGAUCUACAAGGAGGGAAAAGGGACAGCAGCAAGCAACACAUACACAGCCGUAACUCUGAUAACCCAUUAUGCAACCAUAAUCAAAUUAAAAAAAACUGUCAAUGGGAUAACCACAUUCAGGUGUCACAGUGUAGAUAUCUAAACUCAGGUGCAGGUAACUCCAAUUAUCAGGAAUGGGGUAGUCUUUAUAAGGGUGGUUAACAGCCUCUUGAGCUGGCUGGUAUGGACUUGGUGGGUAAACUCAGUGUAACAGAUGGUGGCAACAAGUACAUAUGUGUCAUGGUUGACUAUUUCAAAUUUGGUGCACCCAAAAGACUGCUAACAGACCAAGGCUCAGGAUUUCACAACAAGGUCAACUACAGUCUGUGUGAGAGACUGAGCAUCAAGAGGAGCCUGUGCUGCCCUUAUCAUCCACAGACCAAAUUGAAUGGCAUGAUACAGAGGUCCCUGAACAAACUGGUGGCUGAGCACUGCAACCGUUGGGACCAGUAUCUCCUGUCAACCUUGUUUGCCCUGAGGACCAAGAAGCAGCUGAUGACACAAUACAGCCCCUAUUACCUGAUGUUUGGGAGGGAGGCCAGGUAUCCCUUGGGGCCAUAUGAAAUAUAUUCUGAGGACAUUUUGUACCUGGCCCCAGGAAAGGAGCUGGAGAGUCAGUUGGCCCUUGACUGUGAUGUGGCAGCGGGAGCAGUCUGUCACUAAGGACACUGGACACUCAUUAUCAUGUACCUUAAGGAGAUGAGGUCCUUGUACGUGGAUCCAUGUGGGGCAAAUUGAGAAGUGCAAACAUGCAACAAGGGCACUGGUUUGCCAAAAGCAUCCUGCCAUUGGGAGAUGGGCAUGUUCUACAGUGGCCCUUCCAAGACAACAGGACACAACGUCAUGCAGUGUGUUUGUGUGCAAGACUCGAACGAUGCCUCUCCUCCUCAAACCGGCAGCAGCAGAGUACCACCCAAGGAACGGAGGAGACAGUGUGAUCUUCAGCAGAUACUGCUGCAGAAGGAGAACAUCAAAGUGAAAGCUUAAACCAAAAAAUUACAGACUGAACAGGAAAAGUUGGAGUUGGAAAAAGAGAAAUUAAAGUUGGAGAUACAGUUGCUCCAACAACAAGUUAUUAGGCUGUCAUCUCGCAUUUCUGAAGAGGAGCGGUCCUACAUGGAUUUGAAUUA
Long non-coding RNA from Epinephelus fuscoguttatus (brown-marbled grouper), 3592 nucleotides. RefSeq lists it as uncharacterized. The record is from RefSeq and is a predicted model, not a curated record. NCBI's taxonomy places the organism in Eukaryota, Metazoa, Chordata, Actinopteri, Perciformes, Serranidae. The transcript is spliced from 7 exons.